AGAGUUUGAUCCUGGCUCAGAUUGAACGCUGGCGGCAUGCCUUACACAUGCAAGUCGAACGGUAACAGGUCUUCGGAUGCUGACGAGUGGCGAACGGGUGAGUAAUACAUCGGAACGUGCCCGAGAGUGGGGGAUAACGGAGCGAAAGCUUUGCUAAUACCGCAUACGAUCUACGGAUGAAAGCAGGGGACCGCAAGGCCUUGCGCUCAUGGAGCGGCCGAUGGCAGAUUAGGUAGUUGGUGGGAUAAAAGCUUACCAAGCCGACGAUCUGUAGCUGGUCUGAGAGGACGACCAGCCACACUGGGACUGAGACACGGCCCAGACUCCUACGGGAGGCAGCAGUGGGGAAUUUUGGACAAUGGGCGCAAGCCUGAUCCAGCCAUGCCGCGUGCAGGAUGAGGGCCUUCGGG
Molecule: ribosomal RNA, 410 nt
Filed under: uncultured bacterium
Lineage: Bacteria
Description: bacterial SSU rRNA
Rfam family: Bacterial small subunit ribosomal RNA
Source: RNAcentral